RNAcentral lists this unclassified non-coding RNA (503 nucleotides) under uncultured Glomus. Its description in RNAcentral is "SSU rRNA". It matches the Rfam family "Eukaryotic small subunit ribosomal RNA", at positions 569 to 1072 of the family's 1831-position model. The record is from RNAcentral. Lineage: Eukaryota; Fungi; Glomeromycota; Glomeromycetes; Glomerales; Glomeraceae.
AGCAGCCGCGGUAAUUCCAGCUCCAAUAGCGUAUAUUAAAGUUGUUGCAGUUAAAAAGCUCGUAGUUGAAUUUCGGGAUCAAUACGUUGGUCGUGCUUUCGGGUACGUACUGGCGUCAUUGGUUUCUCUCUUCUGACGAACCAUGAUGUCAUUAGUUUGGUGUUAUGGGGAGUUAGGACUGUUACUUUGAAAAAAGUUAGAGUGUUUAAAUGCAGGCAUUAGCUUGAAUACAUUAGCAUGGAAUAAUGAAAUAGGACGUUUGAUCCUAUUUUGUUGGUUUCUAGGAUCGACGUAAUGAUUAAUAGGGAUAGUUGGGGGGCAUUAGUAUUCAAUUGUCAGAGGUGAAAUUCUUGGAUUUAUUGAAGACUAACUACUGCGAAAGCAUUUGCCAAGGAUGUUUUCAUUAAUCAAGAACGAAAGUUAGGGGAUCGAAGACGAUCAGAUACCGUCGUAGUCUUAACCAUAAACUAUGCCGACUAGGGAUCGGAUGAUGUUAAUUUUUU